GGAGGGUUGCGCCGAAUUGGUAAGGCAGCGGAUUUGAAAUCCGCCGGGGCUUAGGCCCCUUGGGGGUUCGAGUCCCCCACCCUCCG
This is a transfer RNA of Thiovulum sp. ES, 86 nucleotides long. It matches the Rfam family "tRNA". Rfam says of the family: Transfer RNA (tRNA) molecules are approximately 80 nucleotides in length. Their secondary structure includes four short double-helical elements and three loops (D, anti-codon, and T loops). The record is from Rfam. NCBI's taxonomy places the organism in Bacteria, Pseudomonadati, Campylobacterota, Epsilonproteobacteria, Campylobacterales, Sulfurimonadaceae.